RNAcentral lists this ribosomal RNA (264 nucleotides) under uncultured bacterium. RNAcentral's name for it is "partial 16S ribosomal RNA". It matches the Rfam family "Bacterial small subunit ribosomal RNA", at positions 29 to 318 of the family's 1533-position model. The record is from RNAcentral.
AGCGAACGCUGGCGGCAGGCUUAACACAUGCAAGUCGAGCGGGCGUAGCAAUACGUCAGCGGCAGACGGGUGAGUAACGCGUGGGAACAUACCUCUUGGUUCGGAACAACACAGGGAAACUUGUGCUAAUACCGGAUAAGCCCUUUACGGGGAAGGAUUUAUCGCCGAGAGAUUGGCCCGCGUCUGAUUAGCUAGUUGGUGAGGUAACGGCUCACCAAGGCGACGAUCAGUAGCGGUCUGAGAGGAUGAUCAGCCACCAUUGGG